This is a long non-coding RNA of Sapajus apella (tufted capuchin), 602 nucleotides long. RefSeq lists it as uncharacterized. The record is from RefSeq and is a predicted model, not a curated record. The transcript has 2 exons. Lineage: Eukaryota; Metazoa; Chordata; Mammalia; Primates; Cebidae.
CAGCUACUCAGGGCAGAGGUUAGACAAGUGAGGGGGCGGGGCUCAAACACAAGGCAGUUUCUCCCUUCAGGUAUUUGCUAAACUCUGAAGCUGUGUAGGCUGAUGGCCAAAUUGCUAAACCACAAAAUCUGAAAAGCAGCAGGGAAUGCCCUGCCUCCUCCCCGUGUUUGGAUGCUCACAAGACAAGGACCCAAGAGAAGAAGAGAUACUGGACACGCAGUGUCCAGGCAGUAUUUGAUGAGAACAAAGUGACAAGCAAAGACUAAAGUGAAAAGCAUACAUAAAAAAGUAAGCCUCAUGCAAUGGGCCUAUGGCACCUGGCUUGGUGCGGCUGCACCUUCAUUUCAGCAACACCAGUAUGUGCAAACUAACAUCUAGCUCUGACCUGCUCAUUGGAAAGGAAAUCCAUGGACAAUGAGCAGAAGAUCUUCUAGGAUAUAAUUAGACGGCCUGCAUUCCUAUCUCGACCCUAUUAUCAGUUUUGUGACCAUGAGCAUGUUAAUUAACCUCUCUGGGCUUCACUUCCCUUGUCUGUAAAUCAGUAUAUUAAUAGUAACUGGCUUAGAAGACUGUUUUAAGCAUCAAUAAAGACUUAGCACAUA